UAGGGAAUCUUCCACAAUGGGCGAAAGCCUGAUGGAGCAACGCCGCGUGUGUGAUGAAGGGUUUCGGCUCGUAAAACACUGUUGUAAGAGAAGAAUGACGUUGAGAGUAACUGUUCAAGGUGUGACGGUAUCUUACCAGAAAGGAACGGCUAAAUACGUGUCAG
This 164-nucleotide ribosomal RNA is filed under the name uncultured bacterium. Its description in RNAcentral is "partial 16S rRNA". It matches the Rfam family "Bacterial small subunit ribosomal RNA", at positions 355 to 511 of the family's 1533-position model. The record is from RNAcentral.